GCUGUUAAGGGUUCGUAGUUGAAUUGUGGGUGACGUAUCCGGGGUCAAGUCCUGUUCCCCGGUCCAGGAAAGCCACGAUCGUCUCCCGAGAACAUCAGAAACUAAUAUCAUGGGAACGUGCCGGCAGAUUCGCGAGCAAUGCACGCAGCCGGCCGCCCGUGUUCAUUACUGUGACUAAGAAGUGCGACCAAAGCAGUCCAUCGACAUGAAUUAGAAAGCAUGGGAUAACAAAGCAGCGCCUACGGGUUUCCGUUUGGGCUUUUGUUGGUUUUAAGGAUCUGUGGGAGAUUACGGGUCGGCCGACCGGCAUUAGGGGGUUUCUCGCCUCCGUGCUUCUGCUCUGCGUCACUACGGUGGCGUCGGGUGGCUUGCCUGACUCAGGAAUGAAGGAAAGUUGCUCGGGGGAGAACGUACUUGGCGUGAGAGGUGAAAUUCUUAGACCGCUCAAAGACGAACUACAGCGAAGGCAUUCUCCAGGAUACCUUCAUCAAUCAAGAACCAAAGUG
Molecule: ribosomal RNA, 506 nt
Filed under: uncultured kinetoplastid
Lineage: Eukaryota; Euglenozoa; Kinetoplastea
Description: bacterial SSU rRNA
Rfam family: Eukaryotic small subunit ribosomal RNA
Source: RNAcentral